ACCUGGCUGGCUCAGUUAGUAGAGCAUGUGACUCUUGAUCUCAGGGUCAUGAGUUCAAACCCCACAUUGGGUG
RNAcentral lists this transfer RNA (73 nucleotides) under Felis catus (domestic cat). It matches the Rfam family "tRNA". Rfam says of the family: Transfer RNA (tRNA) molecules are approximately 80 nucleotides in length. Their secondary structure includes four short double-helical elements and three loops (D, anti-codon, and T loops). Further hydrogen bonds mediate the characteristic L-shaped molecular structure. tRNAs have two regions of fundamental functional importance: the anti-codon, which is responsible for specific mRNA codon recognition, and the 3' end, to which the tRNAs corresponding amino acid is attached (by aminoacyl-tRNA synthetases). tRNAs cope with the degeneracy of the genetic code in two manners: having more than one tRNA (with a specific anti-codon) for a particular amino acid; and 'wobble' base-pairing, i.e. permitting non-standard base-pairing at the 3rd anti-codon position. The record is from Rfam by way of RNAcentral. Lineage: Eukaryota; Metazoa; Chordata; Mammalia; Carnivora; Felidae.